This 425-nucleotide ribosomal RNA is filed under the name uncultured bacterium. RNAcentral's name for it is "partial 16S ribosomal RNA". It matches the Rfam family "Bacterial small subunit ribosomal RNA", at positions 354 to 796 of the family's 1533-position model. The record is from RNAcentral.
GUGGGGAAUCUUGCGCAAUGGGCGAAAGCCUGACGCAGCCAUGCCGCGUAAAUGAUGAAGGUCUUAGGAUUGUAAAAUUCUUUCACCGGGGACGAUAAUGACGGUACCCGGAGAAGAAGCCCCGGCUAACUUCGUGCCAGCAGCCGCGGUAAUACGAAGGGGGCUAGCGUUGCUCGGAAUUACUGGGCGUAAAGGGCGCGUAGGCGGACAGUUUAGUCAGAGGUGAAAGCCCAGGGCUCAACCUUGGAAUUGCCUUUGAUACUGGCUGUCUUGAGUACGGGAGAGGUGAGUGGAACUCCGAGUGUAGAGGUGAAAUUCGUAGAUAUUCGGAAGAACACCAGUGGCGAAGGCGACUCACUGGCCCGUUACUGACGCUGAGGCGCGAAAGCGUGGGGAGCAAACAGGAUUAGAAACCCUAGUAGUCC